AACUAGUAAGCCUUUUUUGUACCCAUUUAAACAGUCGAUCUUAAGGAAUAAGCUCCACUCUUGGUCGGAGCUGACACAUACACACACUUUUUUAUUUUUAUGAGAAAGC
Melitaea cinxia (Glanville fritillary) is the source of this 109-nucleotide long non-coding RNA. RefSeq lists it as uncharacterized. The transcript has 3 exons. Lineage: Eukaryota; Metazoa; Arthropoda; Insecta; Lepidoptera; Nymphalidae. The record is from RefSeq and is a predicted model, not a curated record.